AUUGAACGCUGGCGGCAGGCUUAACACAUGCAAGUCGAACGAGCGGCGGACGGGUGAGUAAUGUCUGGGAAACUGCCUGAUGGAGGGGGAUAACUACUGGAAACGGUAGCUAAUACCGCAUACCAUCAGAUGGGCCCAGAUGGGUUUAGCUAGUUGGUUGGGUAAUGGCUCAUCAAGGCGACGAUCCCUAGCUGGUCUGAGAGGACGACCAGCCACACUGGAACUGAGACACGGUCCAGACUCCUACGGGAGGCAGCAGUGGGGAAUAUUGCACAAUGGGCGCAAGCCUGAUGCAGCCAUGCCGCGUGUGUGAAGAAGGCCUUCGGGUUGUAAAGCACUUUCAGCGGGGAGGCGUUACCCGCAGAAGAAGCACCGGCUAACUCCGUGCCAGCAGCCGCGGUAAUAC
Molecule: ribosomal RNA, 406 nt
Filed under: uncultured bacterium
Lineage: Bacteria
Description: partial 16S ribosomal RNA
Rfam family: Bacterial small subunit ribosomal RNA
Source: RNAcentral